This 373-nucleotide ribosomal RNA is filed under the name uncultured organism. Its description in RNAcentral is "partial 16S ribosomal RNA". It matches the Rfam family "Bacterial small subunit ribosomal RNA", at positions 527 to 896 of the family's 1533-position model. The record is from RNAcentral.
GUAGGUGGCAAGCGUUGUCCGGAAUUAUUGGGCGUAAAGCGCGCGCAGGCGGUUCUUUAAGUCUGAUGUGAAAGCCCACGGCUCAACCGUGGAGGGUCAUUGGAAACUGGAGAACUUGAGUACAGAAGAGGAAAGCGGAAUUUCACGUGUAGCGGUGAAAUGCGUAGAGAUGUGGAGGAACACCAGUGGCGAAGGCGGCUUUCUGGUCUGUAACUGACGCUGAGGCGCGAAAGCGUGGGGAGCAAACAGGAUUAGAUACCCUGGUAGUCCACGCCGUAAACGAUGAGUGCUAAGUGUUAGGGGGGUUUCCGCCCCCCUUAGUGCUGCAGCUAACGCAUUAAGCACUCCGCCUGGGAGUACGGCCGCAAGGCUG